Transfer RNA from Laetiporus sulphureus 93-53, 81 nucleotides. It matches the Rfam family "tRNA". From Rfam's summary of the family: Transfer RNA (tRNA) molecules are approximately 80 nucleotides in length. Their secondary structure includes four short double-helical elements and three loops (D, anti-codon, and T loops). Further hydrogen bonds mediate the characteristic L-shaped molecular structure. tRNAs have two regions of fundamental functional importance: the anti-codon, which is responsible for specific mRNA codon recognition, and the 3' end, to which the tRNAs corresponding amino acid is attached (by aminoacyl-tRNA synthetases). tRNAs cope with the degeneracy of the genetic code in two manners: having more than one tRNA (with a specific anti-codon) for a particular amino acid; and 'wobble' base-pairing, i.e. permitting non-standard base-pairing at the 3rd anti-codon position. NCBI's taxonomy places the organism in Eukaryota, Fungi, Basidiomycota, Agaricomycetes, Polyporales, Laetiporaceae. The record is from Rfam.
GGGCAAUUGGCACAGUUGGUAGCGCGCACGCUUCGCAUUUGAAUCUGCGUGAGGUCCAGGGUUCGAAUCCCUGAUUGUCCA